AACGCGAAGAACCUUACCUGGGCUUGAACUACUGGUGGUAAGUCCCUGGAAACAGGGGCUGACCCGCAAGGGAGCCAGCAGAGGUGCUGCAUGGUUGUCGUCAGCUCGUGUCGUGAGAUGUUGGGUUAAGUCCCGCAACGAGCGCAACCCCUAUCUCAUGUUGCUAAUCCCGCAAGGGAUGCACUUUUGAGAAACUGCCUUCGAUAAGAAGGAGGAAGGUGGGGACGACGUCAAAUCCUCAUGGCCCUUAUGUCCAGGGCUACACACGUGCUACAAUGGCCGGUACAACGGGAAGCAAUACCGCAAGGUGGAGCCAAACCCUGAAAGCCGGCCUCAGUUCAGAUCGUGGGCUGCAACUCGCCCACGUGAAGGCGGAAUCGCUAGUAAUCGCGAAUCAGCAGGUCGCGGUGAAUACGUUCCCGGGCCUUGUACACACCGUAGUAC
RNAcentral lists this ribosomal RNA (444 nucleotides) under uncultured bacterium. RNAcentral describes it as "bacterial SSU rRNA". It matches the Rfam family "Bacterial small subunit ribosomal RNA", at positions 958 to 1398 of the family's 1533-position model. The record is from RNAcentral.